UACACUGAGACCACUGUGAUGUUAAAGC
RNAcentral lists this non-coding RNA (28 nucleotides) under Bombyx mori (domestic silkworm). The record is from RNAcentral. Lineage: Eukaryota; Metazoa; Arthropoda; Insecta; Lepidoptera; Bombycidae.